CCUACGUGAGGCAGCAGUGGGGGAUAUUGCACAAUGGGGGAAACCCUGAUGCAGCGACGCCGCGUGUGGGAAGACGGUCCUCUGGAUUGUAAACCACUGUCCCCAGGGACGACGAUGACGGUACCUGGGGAGGAAGCUCCGGCUAACUACGUUCCAGCAGCCGCGGUAAUACGUAGGGAGCGAGCGUUGUCCGGAAUUAGUGGGUGUAAAGUGAGCGGAGGCGGGGAUGUAAGGUGGGUGUAAAAACUACCGGCUCAACUGGUAGACGCACUCCAAACUGCAGCUCUUGAGUGAAGUAGAGGAAGGCGGAAUUCCGAGUGUAGCGGUGAAAUGCGUAGAUAGUAGGAGGAACACCAGUGGCGAAGGCGGCCUGCUGGGCUUUUACUGACGCUGAGGCUCGAAAGUGUGGGGAGCAAACAGGAUUAGAUACCCCUGUAGUC
RNAcentral lists this ribosomal RNA (440 nucleotides) under uncultured bacterium. Its description in RNAcentral is "partial 16S ribosomal RNA". It matches the Rfam family "Bacterial small subunit ribosomal RNA", at positions 338 to 795 of the family's 1533-position model. The record is from RNAcentral.